Molecule: ribosomal RNA, 422 nt
Filed under: Verrucomicrobiota bacterium
Lineage: Bacteria; Pseudomonadati; Verrucomicrobiota
Description: Verrucomicrobia bacterium partial 16S ribosomal RNA
Rfam family: Bacterial small subunit ribosomal RNA
Source: RNAcentral
UGGGUAAUUUUGCACAAUGGGCGCAAGCCUGAUGCAGCGACGCCGCGUGAGGGAUGAAGGCCUUCGGGUUGUAAACCUUUUUCGCUCAUGGUCAAGCCGCAGCUUUGGGUUGUGGUGAGGGUAGUGGGUAAAGAAGCGCCGGCUAACUACGUGCCAGCAGCCGCGGUAAUACGUAGGGCGCGAGCGUUGUCCGGAAUUAUUGGGCGUAAAGGGCUUGUAGGCGGUUGGCCGCGUCUGCCGUGAAAUCCUCUGGCUUAACUGGGGGCGUGCGGUGGGUACGGGUUGACUUGAGUGCGGUAGGGGAGACUGGAAUUCCUGGUGUAGCGGUGGAAUGCGCAGAUAUCAGGAGGAACACCGGUGGCGAAGGCGGGUCUCUGGGCCGUUACUGACGCUGAGGAGCGAAAGCGUGGGGAGCGAACAGG